Molecule: long non-coding RNA, 995 nt
Organism: Triticum aestivum (bread wheat)
Lineage: Eukaryota; Viridiplantae; Streptophyta; Magnoliopsida; Poales; Poaceae
Exons: 2
Source: RefSeq, a predicted model, not a curated record
CAAAGAAAAGAAAAGAAAAAGACUUUGGAUCCCAUCUCUCUCUCACGCGAAACACAUCUCGUUCCGCUGCAGCCCAAAGAAAUCUCUCUCUCCCAACCUCGUCCCGAUCCCCUUCCUCCAACCCACGGCCGCCGGUCUACUCCGGCGAUCCCCACCGCCCAGCUCUCCUUCCCGGCGUCGCCUCUUCCCGCUGCACCGUCUCCACGGGCUGGGUUCGCUCCUCGCCGCGUCAUGCCGGCCGUCACGCGCGAUUCGCGACCCACCAACCCUAGCAUUGCAGCCGGGCGGGCGUCGUCGUCGAUGCGGCGGUGGUCUUCACAGGCGCACGCCUCCUGGCCGUGCCCUUGUGCCGGACCCAAACCCUAGCUAGGGCUCCGCCACGGCUGCGCCUCCUCCCGGUUCAAGGACUUUGUGCAUCUUCUCCACGACGGAUCUGCAAGAGGAGGAGGAUGAACCUCUUCCCGGGAUGCCACGGAUGGAGCUCGCUCGUCAAGGCACACUACCCACCCAUGGAUCCAGGCGGAGGUGUUGGAGAUUCCAUUCCAUUCGAUUUGGCUGCUCCGUUCGUGUUCCUGCUGCAGCAUAUCAUAGAAAAACCUGGAUCCAGGAGGAGAUGCAGCCUCCAAAACCAAAACUUGGCCUCCAGGAACAACACUAUAUAUAGGCGACCGACCCCCUUCUCCAUUCAUUCUUCCUGCUCUGCUGCUUCUCACUUGUGAGAUCAACAUUCAUCCAUCUUGAUUUGUUCCUACCAACGGAUACAAGUCUUCUUUUUCUUCUUUGUUAAAAAUGGCACGAUUGGUUGAAUUAGAGUUGAAAACAUAAGGUACAUGUUACUGCUAGACUACAUUUCCAGUCAUACAUGCGCCGGUGGUGUCCAACAGUCUGGCUUGGGCCACAAUGGUUCCACAAGCCCAGCCGACGUGUAUUUUUUUUUUCCAGAUGCUUACAUAAUACUCCCUCUCUAAAGAAAUAUGAGAGCAUUUAGAUCACUA